RNAcentral lists this ribosomal RNA (457 nucleotides) under uncultured bacterium. Its description in RNAcentral is "bacterial SSU rRNA". It matches the Rfam family "Bacterial small subunit ribosomal RNA", at positions 70 to 518 of the family's 1533-position model. The record is from RNAcentral.
CAGCAUAGAAGUAGCAAUACGUUGGUGGCGACCGGCGCACGGUGAGUAACGCGUAUAGCAACCUACCUAUCAGAGGGGAAUAACCCGGCGAAAGUCGGACUAAUAACCGCAUAAAACAGGGGCACCGCAUGGUGAUAUUUGUUAAGAAAUUCGCUGAUAGAUGGGCAUGCGUUCCAUUAGGUAGUUGGUGAGGUAACGGCUCACCAAGCCGACGAUGGAUACGGGAACUGAGAGGUUGGUCCCCCACACUGGUACUGAGACACGGACCAGACUCCUACGGGAGGCAGCAGUGAAGGAAUAUUGGUCAAUGGGCGGGAGCCUGAACCAGCCAAGUCGCGUGAAGGAAGAAGGAUCUAUGGUUCGUAAACUUCUUUUGCAGGGGAAUAAAGUGCAGGACGUGUCCUGUUUUGUAUGUACCCUGAGAAUAAGGAUCGGCUAACUCCGUGCCAGCAGCGGC